Artibeus jamaicensis (Jamaican fruit-eating bat) is the source of this 2534-nucleotide long non-coding RNA. RefSeq lists it as uncharacterized. The record is from RefSeq and is a predicted model, not a curated record. NCBI's taxonomy places the organism in Eukaryota, Metazoa, Chordata, Mammalia, Chiroptera, Phyllostomidae. The transcript is spliced from 3 exons.
GUCAAGUUCACUUCCACAUUUUGGGCAGCUGAAGAUCCCAAGGCCCUUCUCCAUAAGCUCAUUUACCAGCUUGCACCUGGUAAAUGCACAGCUCCAAAAGGAGCUGGGAGCAGCAGCCUGGAAGGGGAUACGGCCUGCGGAUCACCGAUGUUACUUGCUCCCUCCAGAGCUGCCUUCCAACUGCCGACUCGCUCACUUUCUCCUUCACUUGCACAUGCUGAGGUGCCCACAGCCUCAGGAAACACCACUGUAAGAUACGAGAAUCAAGAUAUGGGCUUUUCUUGGAACCACGAGGCCAACCUGCUGUCACUUUCUGGCUUCCUUGAAACCCCAUGAAGGAGGCAGUGCCUGGGUCCCUGGAGGGGAAACCAUUAGCCGACCAUCCCUGGAGCAGGGAUUUUACCUGCCACGGUCCCUCAUGCUGUGCAGUGGCAAAGGGAGGGCCUGGCAUGCAGGAGGAGCAUGAAAUACAUUUGUAGUAUGAGCACAUUCUACCAUGAGAUGAUACACACUAGAAUAAAUGCAUAAGACAUAUGGAAAGAAUGAAAUUAUAAUCUCAUGCAUUUCAAAAUGGACAUGAGGAAUAACCCUGGAAACAAUUAUUUCCUGUAAAAAUCUAUGAUCUGUAGUCUAUAGUUGUUUUUUGUUUUUAAUUUGUAAAAUUUGACCAAAAAGCCUUUCAAGCCUCAUAAGCCCCAUAAGCACUUAUGGCUAAUUUAACCAAAAGACAUAGCUAGCUAUUGAAUUCUGUAUCACCCACUGUUAUUUUCUCAACGAGUUACUUCUGUAAUGGAAUUAACCAGCAAUUCGUGACAAUGUCAUUUUGACUAUUUGCCUCCAUGGCAUUGAAUUUUACAAGUUGUUCUAGCAUGCUGUCAACAUAAAACCAAAUCACCAUAUUGGAACAUUUCCUCCUCUUCUUCUUCUCAGUCAGUAACUCCUGCCUUUAGUUAGCAGGAAUUUACCCGGCAAACAGAUGAGAGCCCCUUCUGUGCCAAGCCCGGGACUAAGCUCUGCAGAAACAGCAGAGAACAACAGAGAGAGAGUUCUGCCCUCACCAAACUUAUCUUUGAGCAGGAAGAGAUCAAUAAAUAAGUGAUUACGUAAAUGAGAUGAUGCCAGAAAGUUAGAGCCAAGAGAAAGUAAGGAGGCUAGAGAUGGCGGAGGCUCCUAGGGAAGGAGCGCUUGAGCUGCAACCCCACAGAUGCGCCCCCAGCCCACGAGUUCUGGGGCGGAAGUGUUCCAGGCAGCAGGGUCAGCAGCGGCCACGCCAGAGGCAGGAAGAAGCUUCGGGUAUUUGAGGGACUGAAAAAUAAGGCCAGCGUGGGAGACAGAGCUGGUACAAGAAGUGGAAAGCAAACAGGGCUCCUUCACGCCUUGUGGAGUCUUGCGGACCAUGAUGAGGAACCCACUGUUGGGUGACAUGACAUGAGUUGUUUCUCAAAGAACCCUCUGGAUCUGUGGAAGGUGGCUUGGGGACGGGUGUGAGCGGCCACUGCCCAGGUGUGGCAUGAGAGGCCCCACGCUCAGGUGGUGGCGGUGGGACCGAACACACAGGUAAGAGAUAGACCUUGUCGGCAAAGGCACUGGGACGUGCUGGCUGAGUGACUGGAGGGGUGAGGGAAGGAGCUGGAGUGAUGCCUUAUUGAAACUAAUGAGAUCUACUAAUUAGGAUCACAUUUUACCAUAAACAAAUUAUUAAGCACUUUUCCUGCCAGUAUCACUGCCCUGCCUUUAGGAAUAAGGCUUAAAAUUCAUUAAAAAGGAGUCUGACAGGAGUCAAGGGACCUCUAAUAUUUUCUAACCGUGGGGAAGGGAACUGCAGAAGUCAAGCUAUAACAAUAUGUCACAUUUAUAAAGCACGUCGCUGUUUACAAAGUGCUUUCAUAUCCAUGAUCUCGCUCACACUCUUUAUUUUUCUUCCAAUUUUAUGACAUUUCCAUCGACGGGGUUGGAUUAAUAAACUGGUUCAUUCACAUAACAAAAACCAGAUUCUGAUGAAGAAGUGGUUGACACUCCGCUGCUUAUUAUAACUUUUUAACUCAUUUUUAUUGUUAUUCUAUUACAGUUGUCCCAAUUUUUCCCCCUUUGCCCUCCUCUGCACCCAUCCCACCCCACCCCCCACUCCCACAGUCAGUUCUCUCACUGUUGUCUGUGUCCGUGGGUCAUCCACACAUGCUCUUUGUCUAGUCCCUUCCCCUUUUUUCCACCAUUGUCCCCCACCCACUUCUCCUCUGGUCACUGUCAGCCUGUUCCAUGUUUUUGUGCCUCUGGUUCUAUUUUGUUCAUUAGUUUAUCGUUCAUUCGAUUCCCCUCAUAGGUGAGAUCAUAUGGUAUCCGUCUUUCACCAACUGGCUUAUAUGACAGGAGCUAGUCUUCUAACAGAGACAGUUUUCUGUAAUUUAAAAGAAACAUUUUUUUCAUUAUCUUUUUGUUUCAGUGUUAUCCAUGGAUCACCCUGAUCGUACUUGUGAAAAUAAGAUUCAAUUGGAAUUUUAAGAAUGCCAGCAUUGUGAAAGUUUUGAAAUGAAUAU